RNAcentral lists this ribosomal RNA (576 nucleotides) under Ampagia sp. ARC1917. RNAcentral describes it as "SSU rRNA". It matches the Rfam family "Eukaryotic small subunit ribosomal RNA", at positions 23 to 575 of the family's 1831-position model. Lineage: Eukaryota; Metazoa; Arthropoda; Insecta; Coleoptera; Curculionidae. The record is from RNAcentral.
GUCAUAUGCUUGUCUCAAAGAUUAAGCCAUGCAUGUCUCAGUACAAGCCAAAUUAAGGUGAAACCGCGAAAGGCUCAUUAAAUCAGUUAUGGUUCCUUAGAUCGUACCCACAAUUACUUGGAUAACUGUGGUAAUUCUAGAGCUAAUACAUGCAAACAGAGCUCCGACCGGAGACGGGAGGAGUGCUUUUAUUAGAUCAAAACCAAUCGGUGGCGAGUUCACGCUCGUCAUCGUACAACUUGGUGACUCUGAAUAACUUUACGCUGAUCGCACGGUCAUCGCACCGGCGACGCAUCUUUCAAAUGUCUGCCUUAUCAACUGUCGAUGGUAGGUUCUGCGCCUACCAUGGUUGUAACGGGUAACGGGGAAUCAGGGUUCGAUUCCGGAGAGGGAGCCUGAGAAACGGCUACCACAUCCAAGGAAGGCAGCAGGCGCGCAAAUUACCCACUCCCGGCACGGGGAGGUAGUGACGAAAAAUAACGAUACGGGACUCAUCCGAGGCCCCGUAAUCGGAAUGAGUACACUCUAAACCCUUUAACGAGGAUCAAUUGGAGGGCAAGUCUGGUGCCAGCAGCC